GCCAGGCACGGUGGUGCGUGUCUGUAGUCCCAGCUACUCUGGAGGCUAAGGUUGGACGAUUGCUUGAGCCCCGGAGUUCUGGGCUGUAGUGCUAUGCCCAUCGUGUGUCCGCAGUAAGUUUGGCAUCAAUAUGGUGACCUCCCGGGAACAGGGGACCACCAGGUUGCCUAAGGAGGGGUGAACCAGCCCAGGUCGGAAAUGGUGCAGGUCAAAAUUGAUGAGUAGGGGGAUCAUGCCUGUGAAUAGCCACUGCACUCCAGCCUGGGCAACAUAGCAAGACCACCUCUCU
Unclassified non-coding RNA from Callithrix jacchus (white-tufted-ear marmoset), 289 nucleotides. It matches the Rfam family "Metazoan signal recognition particle RNA". Rfam says of the family: The signal recognition particle (SRP) is a universally conserved ribonucleoprotein. Lineage: Eukaryota; Metazoa; Chordata; Mammalia; Primates; Cebidae. The record is from Ensembl.